This 72-nucleotide transfer RNA is filed under the name Sandaracinus sp. RNAcentral describes it as "tRNA-Val". It matches the Rfam family "tRNA". From Rfam's summary of the family: Transfer RNA (tRNA) molecules are approximately 80 nucleotides in length. Their secondary structure includes four short double-helical elements and three loops (D, anti-codon, and T loops). Further hydrogen bonds mediate the characteristic L-shaped molecular structure. tRNAs have two regions of fundamental functional importance: the anti-codon, which is responsible for specific mRNA codon recognition, and the 3' end, to which the tRNAs corresponding amino acid is attached (by aminoacyl-tRNA synthetases). tRNAs cope with the degeneracy of the genetic code in two manners: having more than one tRNA (with a specific anti-codon) for a particular amino acid; and 'wobble' base-pairing, i.e. permitting non-standard base-pairing at the 3rd anti-codon position. The record is from RNAcentral. Lineage: Bacteria; Pseudomonadati; Myxococcota; Polyangiales; Sandaracinaceae. RNAcentral also lists the same sequence under 2 other names.
GGGCGGAUAGCUCAGCGGUAGAGCUGCGCCUUUACACGGCGCUGGUCCUCGGUUCGAUCCCGGGUCCGCCCA